Small nucleolar RNA from Choloepus hoffmanni (Hoffmann's two-fingered sloth), 265 nucleotides. Ensembl annotates it as small Cajal body-specific RNA 6. NCBI's taxonomy places the organism in Eukaryota, Metazoa, Chordata, Mammalia, Pilosa, Megalonychidae. The record is from Ensembl.
GGUCGAUGAUGAAUAGUAAAAGGUCUGACUCCCCAGGUCCUCUCCUGCAUCCCAGGUGGUCCCCAGCUGCCUCUUCUCCAUCCGGCUCCAGUAGUGCUGUUAUGGGCCCAAAGGCAGCUGACAUUUGGUGAUGUCCCUGUCUGGUGUCUCUUGGCAAGCCCAGGGAAGACGCUGUGGUCCGCAUCCAACAGCUUAGUUGCAGAGGGAUUUUGGUCGAUGGGAGUGCUGGACUCUGGGGUUUGAUCUGACGUUUCCAGCUGAGACC